RNAcentral lists this ribosomal RNA (427 nucleotides) under uncultured bacterium. Its description in RNAcentral is "partial 16S ribosomal RNA". It matches the Rfam family "Bacterial small subunit ribosomal RNA", at positions 355 to 774 of the family's 1533-position model. The record is from RNAcentral.
UGGGGAAUAUUGGACAAUGGGCGAAAGCCUGAUCCAGCCAUGCCGCGUGUGUGAAGAAGGUCUUCGGAUUGUAAAGCACUUUAAGUUGGGAGGAAGGGCAGUAAGCUAAUACCUUGCUGUUUUGACGUUACCGACAGAAUAAGCACCGGCUAACUCUGUGCCAGCAGCCGCGGUAAUACAGAGGGUGCAAGCGUUAAUCGGAAUUACUGGGCGUAAAGCGCGCGUAGGUGGUUUGUUAAGUUGGAUGUGAAAGCCCCGGGCUCAACCUGGGAACUGCAUCAAAAACUGGCAAGCUAGAGUACGGUAGAGGGUGGUGGAAUUUCCUGUGUAGCGGUGAAAUGCGUAGAUAUAGGAAGGAACACCAGUGGCGAAGGCGACCACCUGGACUGAUACUGACACUGAGGUGCGAAAGCGUGGGGAGCAAACA